GAAGGUAUCAUGUAUUUUCGAUUGCACAAUAAGUGCAGUCCCCAACCGUUCACAAAUUCAAUAGAAUUGAACGCUUUUACGCCUUCCCAAGCAAACGCACCAAAAGUGCUACCAAUCAUUCAAUAAUUGGCAAUGAGGCGGGCAAAAUGCUAAACAGUGGGCAACACUGGUCACACAUGACAGAGAGUUAUCGAUAUGAUUAUGUUGUCAAACUUUUGAUGUCACACAUAGAGAUGCCAUAAGGCUUAGAGAAAAGGUUACGAAUUAGUAAAAAACUUUGUGGAAAACAUAAUAUAAUAUUAAAUCAGUCCAAAGGAAAGCCAAGGUGUUCGGUGUAACAACCAUCAAUAAGUUUGCAGCUCGUUGGAAAAAAAGCUCAGAGAUGGCCUUAGUUGCUGUGUCGGUGUCGGACGGUGUCUAGACAUGUAUAUGACAAUGUUUUGUGUGUGUGUGUGUGUUGUGCCACUGCGGCCAGCCAUUCUUUGAGUAAUCCUUUGGUAGCAUAUACGAACUUUCGCAUUAACGGAGGACGUUGAAGACUGAAAGCACCCAAAUAUGAGGCACAGAUUCUACGUUUCUGUGGUUUUGCGAGAAAUUUCGACAAACGUAAAGCAGUGUGGCCAAGUUGCAUGCAGGAACCCCUACAACAGGGACUCUAUUGCGGUGGCUGCCACAUGGAAAGAGUAUGCAAUGCUUCGGCCCCACCGGCUGAAGCGCCUUCUGUUUUUGCUGCUGUCUUUUCUGUGGUUAUUUUUCUCUGCUGCUGCUGCUGCCGCUGCUGGCGUCUCUGCUGCUGCCAUCGCAUUCUGCUUUGGUAUGCAAAGUAAGCGGCAAGCUGAAGCCCUGUGCUCUCCUCUCUGCUCCCUUCUGCAGCCAAAAAAAAAAAGAGACAGCAAGUGCGUGCUCCGUCCCAUUCCGGCUAAUGCCUGCUGCCAAGCAAUCAGCUGAUGAAUUGCCAACAGAGUCUUAAAGGUUCUGUCUGCGGUCGGACUUCAGGCCGAUCGUCCCCAAAUUGACGGAUGUGGGAGAAAUUAUGUGAAGCCAAAGCAAAGUUUUGGAAGACAGAGUAUAUCAACACCAUUCCAUUCGUAGACAUACAUAUAUCUUUUAAAAGUCAGCUAUCUUCGACCCUCAUUCGUUCUUUGUAUUGGGGUUGUCGUAUGGCUUAGAUUAGUUGAGAUAGGUCUUUUCCUAUUAUAAUCUUAUCAUUUUAUAGGCUCUAAAGUUCCCAUGACUACCUCCUAAAGCUCCUUUUUGAAUCUUAAGUUGUUGAACCUAUUUUUAUCCAGAGUAAAGCCUCUGUUCUUUAGAUAUUUCCUGUUUUGUCCACCGAUUUCUUAUCACUAAAUAAGAAUUUGCAAUCAUUUUCUGGCGUAUAUUUUCUGUUCUGUAUGU
Long non-coding RNA from Drosophila miranda, 1395 nucleotides. RefSeq lists it as uncharacterized. Lineage: Eukaryota; Metazoa; Arthropoda; Insecta; Diptera; Drosophilidae. The record is from RefSeq and is a predicted model, not a curated record. The transcript is spliced from 3 exons.